This 205-nucleotide non-coding RNA is filed under the name Cetobacterium somerae. Lineage: Bacteria; Fusobacteriati; Fusobacteriota; Fusobacteriia; Fusobacteriales; Fusobacteriaceae. The record is from RNAcentral.
AGAACUGUUAAUCCGAGAAAUCGAAUGAUAGGGUAACGCCUUGAAAGGUUUCCUCUGAUACUCCGACAUGCAUCAAGAUACUAACCUAUCUUGAGGUAUGAAGCUCGGUGAAGUCGGCUGAGAGCCACCCUACACAUAUCCCUAAAGGAAUGUGAUGGAAAUGUGAACUAGAGGUAGUCAAGUGGUGACAGGUCGGGAGUCAAUA